RNAcentral lists this ribosomal RNA (503 nucleotides) under uncultured bacterium. RNAcentral describes it as "partial 16S ribosomal RNA". It matches the Rfam family "Bacterial small subunit ribosomal RNA", at positions 29 to 523 of the family's 1533-position model. The record is from RNAcentral.
AAUGAACGCUGGCGGCAGGCCUAAUACAUGCAAGUCGAGCGGGGUGAUGGUGCUUGCACUAUCACUUAGCGGCGGACGGGUGAGUAAUGCUUAGGAAUCUGCCUAUUAGUGGGGGACAACAUCUCGAAAGGGAUGCUAAUACCGCAUACGUCCUACGGGAGAAAGCAGGGGAUCACUUGUGAUCUUGCGCUAAUGGAUGAGCCUAAGUCGGAUUAGCUAGUUGGUGGGGUAAAGGCCUACCAAGGCGACGAUCUGUAGCGGGUCUGAGAGGAUGAUCCGCCACACUGGGACUGAGACACGGCCCAGACUCCUACGGGGGGCAGCAGUGGGGAAUAUUGGACAAUGGGGGGAACCCUGAUCCAGCCAUGCCGCGUGUGUGAAGAAGGCCUUAUGGUUGUAAAGCACUUUAAGCGAGGAGGAGGCUCUUUUGGUUAAUACCCAAGAUGAGUGGACGUUACUCGCAGAAUAAGCACCGGCUAACUCUGUGCCAGCCGCCGCCGUAA